GAUGAACGCUGGCGGCGUGCUUAACACAUGCAAGUCGAACGAUGAAGCCCAGCUUGCUGGGUGGAUUAGUGGCGAACGGGUGAGUAACACGUGAGUAACCUGCCCUUAACUCUGGGAUAAGCCUGGGAAACUGGGUCUAAUACCGGAUAGGAGCGCCUACCGCAUGGUGGGUGUUGGAAAGAUUUAUCGGUUUUGGAUGGACUCGCGGCCUAUCAGCUUGUUGGUGAGGUAAUGGCUCACCAAGGCGACGACGGGUAGCCGGCCUGAGAGGGUGACCGGCCACACUGGGACUGAGACACGGCCCAGACUCCUACGGGAGGCAGCAGUGGGGAAUAUUGCACAAGGGGCGAAAGCCUGAUGCAGCGACGCCGCGUGAGGGAUGACGGCCUUCGGGUUGUAAACCUCUUUCAGUAGGGAAGAAGCGAAAGUGACGGUACCUGCAGAAGAAGCACCGGCUAACUACGUG
Molecule: ribosomal RNA, 466 nt
Filed under: uncultured bacterium
Lineage: Bacteria
Description: partial 16S ribosomal RNA
Rfam family: Bacterial small subunit ribosomal RNA
Source: RNAcentral